This 485-nucleotide ribosomal RNA is filed under the name uncultured bacterium. RNAcentral describes it as "bacterial SSU rRNA". It matches the Rfam family "Bacterial small subunit ribosomal RNA", at positions 29 to 507 of the family's 1533-position model. The record is from RNAcentral.
AUUGAACGCUGGCGGCAUGCUUUACACAUGCAAGUCGAACGGCAGCGGGGGCUUCGGCCUGCCGGCGAGUGGCGAACGGGUGAGUAAUGCAUCGGAACGUGCCCAAGUCGUGGGGGAUAACGUAUCGAAAGGUACGCUAAUACCGCAUACGCCCUGAGGGGGAAAGCGGGGGAUCUUCGGACCUCGCGCGAUUGGAGCGGCCGAUGUCGGAUUAGCUAGUAGGUGGGGUAAAGGCUCACCUAGGCGACGAUCCGUAGCGGGUCUGAGAGGAUGAUCCGCCACACUGGGACUGAGACACGGCCCAGACUCCUACGGGAGGCAGCAGUGGGGAAUUUUGGACAAUGGGCGCAAGCCUGAUCCAGCCAUGCCGCGUGAGUGAAGAAGGCCUUCGGGUUGUAAAGCUCUUUCGGCCGGGAAGAAAUCGUGUUCUCUAACAUAGGACAUGGAUGACGGUACCGGACUAAGAAGCACCGGCUAACUACGUG